Molecule: ribosomal RNA, 484 nt
Filed under: uncultured bacterium
Lineage: Bacteria
Description: partial 16S ribosomal RNA
Rfam family: Bacterial small subunit ribosomal RNA
Source: RNAcentral
AUUGAACGCUGGCGGCAGGCCUAACACAUGCAAGUCGAGCGGAUGAAGGGAGCUUGCUCCUGGAUUCAGCGGCGGACGGGUGAGUAAUGCCUAGGAAUCUGCCUGGUAGUGGGGGAUAACGUCCGGAAACGGGCGCUAAUACCGCAUACGUCCUGAGGGAGAAAGUGGGGGAUCUUCGGACCUCACGCUAUCAGAUGAGCCUAGGUCGGAUUAGCUAGUUGGUGGGGUAAAGGCCUACCAAGGCGACGAUCCGUAACUGGUCUGAGAGGAUGAUCAGUCACACUGGAACUGAGAGACGGUCCAGACUCCUACGGUAGGCAGCAGUGGGGAAUAGUGGACGAUGGGCGAAAGCCUGAUCCAGCCAUGCCGCGUGUGUUAAGAAGGUCUUCGGAUUGUAAAGCACUUUAAGUUGGGAGGAAGGGCAGUAAGUUAAUACCUGGCUGUUUUGACGUUACCAACAGAAUAAGCACCGGCUAACUUCGUG